RNAcentral lists this ribosomal RNA (489 nucleotides) under uncultured bacterium. RNAcentral's name for it is "partial 16S ribosomal RNA". It matches the Rfam family "Bacterial small subunit ribosomal RNA", at positions 28 to 507 of the family's 1533-position model. The record is from RNAcentral.
GAUGAACGCUAGCUACAGGCUUAACACAUGCAAGUCGAGGGGCAGCAUGAACUUAGCUUGCUAAGUUUGAUGGCGACCGGCGCACGGGUGAGUAACACGUAUCCAACCUGCCGAUGACUCGGGGAUAGCCUUUCGAAAGAAAGAUUAAUACCCGAUGGCAUAGUUCUUCCGCAUGGUAGAACUAUUAAAGAAUUUCGGUCAUCGAUGGGGAUGCGUUCCAUUAGGUUGUUGGCGGGGUAACGGCCCACCAAGCCUUCGAUGGAUAGGGGUUCUGAGAGGAAGGUCCCCCACAUUGGAACUGAGACACGGUCCAAACUCCUACGGGAGGCAGCAGUGAGGAAUAUUGGUCAAUGGACGAGAGUCUGAACCAGCCAAGUAGCGUGAAGGAGGACUGCCCUAUGGGUUGUAAACUUCUUUUAUACGGGAAUAAAGUGAGGCACGUGUGCCUUUUUGUAUGUACCGUAUGAAUAAGGAUCGGCUAACUCCGUG